UUAGAAUCCACCACUUAUUUACAAACUCCUGUCAUGACUUCCUGGGAAAGGAUCCCUCCUGACAGGUACACCUCCACGGCACAGGUCCAGGAAUCCCUGAAUGGUUUCAGUCUGGUUUGUUGCCAACAGGAAAGAAACAGAGAGUGGAGGGUUGGAGAAUCUGUGCUGACUCCCUCCUGCUCUCAGUCUCACUCCUCCUAAAGUCAGUGGCCUGCAUACCUGGGGACUCCCUCCUCCACCUCGGUCGAUACUUCAGUCACUCUCUUCCUCCUCUCUUCCUGCACAGAUGGGUUGAGCGAAGGUGUGCUACCCAUGGGAAAGAGCAGGAAAGGCAGCCAGUCGGACUGGUAGAGUCAGCUUGGAAAAGAACAAACCCUGCAGAGGAAGGGAGCAGCUACAGUAUCUAAGGAUUGUAAAAUCUCCUCAAAUAAAUUUGACGGAACCAUUAAAAAAAAAAAAAAAAAAAGCUCUAAGUUGUU
Oryzias melastigma (Indian medaka) is the source of this 479-nucleotide long non-coding RNA. RefSeq lists it as uncharacterized. The transcript has 3 exons. NCBI's taxonomy places the organism in Eukaryota, Metazoa, Chordata, Actinopteri, Beloniformes, Adrianichthyidae. The record is from RefSeq and is a predicted model, not a curated record.